This 465-nucleotide ribosomal RNA is filed under the name Vreelandella stevensii. RNAcentral describes it as "partial 16S ribosomal RNA". It matches the Rfam family "Bacterial small subunit ribosomal RNA", at positions 338 to 795 of the family's 1533-position model. The record is from RNAcentral. Lineage: Bacteria; Pseudomonadati; Pseudomonadota; Gammaproteobacteria; Oceanospirillales; Halomonadaceae.
CCUACGGGAGGCAGCAGUGGGGAAUAUUAGACAAUGGGGGCAACCCUGAUCCAGCCAUGCCGCGUGUGUGAAGAAGGCCCUCGGGUUGUAAAGCACUUUCAGUGAGGAAGAACGCCUGGUGGUUAAUACCCAUCAGGAAAGACAUCACUCACAGAAGAAGCACCGGCUAACUCCGUGCCAGCAGCCGCGGUAAUACGGAGGGUGCGAGCGUUAAUCGGAAUUACUGGGCGUAAAGCGCGCGUAGGUGGCUUGAUAAGCCGGUUGUGAAAGCCCCGGGCUCAACCUGGGAACGGCAUCCGGAACUGUCAAGCUAGAGUGCAGGAGAGGAAGGUAGAAUUCCCGGUGUAGCGGUGAAAUGCGUAGAGAUCGGGAGGAAUACCAGUGGCGAAGGCGGCCUUCUGGACUGACACUGACACUGAGGUGCGAAAGCGUGGGUAGCAAACAGGAUUAGAUACCCUUGUAGUC